AUACAGAGGGUGCGAGCGUUAAUCGGAUUUACUGGGCGUAAAGCGUGCGUAGGCGGCUUUUUAAGUCGGAUGUGAAAUCCCCGAGCUUAACUUGGGAAUUGCAUUCGAUACUGGGAAGCUAGAGUAUGGGAGAGGAUGGUAGAAUUCCAGGUGUAGCGGUGAAAUGCGUAGAGAUCUGGAGGAAUACCGAUGGCGAAGGCAGCCAUCUGGCCUAAUACUGACGCUGAGGUACGAAAGCAUGGGGAGCAAACAGGAUUAGAAACCCUAGUAGUCC
Molecule: ribosomal RNA, 274 nt
Filed under: uncultured bacterium
Lineage: Bacteria
Description: partial 16S ribosomal RNA
Rfam family: Bacterial small subunit ribosomal RNA
Source: RNAcentral